UACGGAGGUGGCAAGCGUUGUUCGGAAUCACUGGGCGUAAAGCGCACGUAGGCGGAUCUUUAAGUCAGGGGUGAAAUCCCGAGGCUCAACCUCGGAACUGCCUUUGAUACUGGGGAUCUCGAGUCCGGGAGAGGUGAGUGGAACUGCGAGUGUAGAGGUGAAAUUCGUAGAUAUUCGCAAGAACACCAGUGGCGAAGGCGGCUCACUGGCCCGGAACUGACGCUGAGGUGCGAAAGCGUGGGGAGCAAACAGG
This 253-nucleotide ribosomal RNA is filed under the name uncultured bacterium. RNAcentral's name for it is "partial 16S ribosomal RNA". It matches the Rfam family "Bacterial small subunit ribosomal RNA", at positions 524 to 776 of the family's 1533-position model. The record is from RNAcentral.